GCAUAUCAAUAAGCGGAGGAAAAGAAACUAACAAGGAUUCCCCUAGUAGCGGCGAGCGAAGCGGGAAAAGCUCAAAUUUGUAAUCUGGCGUCUACGACGUCCGAGUUGUAAUCUCGAGAAGUGUUUUCCGUGAUAGACCGCAUACAAGUCUCUUGGAACAGAGCGUCAUAGUGGUGAGAACCCAGUACACGAUGCGGAUGCCUAUUACUUUGUGAUACACUUUCGAAGAGUCGAGUUGUUUGGGAAUGCAGCUCAAAUUGGGUGGUAAAUUCCAUCUAAAGCUAAAUAUUGGCGAGAGACCGAUAGCGAACAAGUACCGUGAGGGAAAGAUGAAAAGCACUUUGGAAAGAGAGUUAACAGUACGUGAAAUUGUUGGAAGGGAAACACAUGCAGCCAGACUUGCUAUUCGGGGCAACUCGAUUGGCAGGCCCGCAUCAGUUUUUCGGGGCGGAAAAGCAUAGAGAGAAGGUAGCAAUUUCGGUUGUGUUAUAGCUCUUUAUUGGAUUCGCCCUGGGGGACUGAGGAACGCAGCGUGCUUUCAGCAUAAGCUUCGGCUUAUCCACGCUUAGGAUGCGGGUGUAAUGGCUGUAUAUGACCCGUCUUGAAACACGGACC
This 615-nucleotide ribosomal RNA is filed under the name uncultured fungus. Its description in RNAcentral is "eukaryotic LSU rRNA". It matches the Rfam family "Eukaryotic large subunit ribosomal RNA", at positions 38 to 667 of the family's 3401-position model. The record is from RNAcentral. Lineage: Eukaryota; Fungi.